UGAGGAAUAUUGCACAAUGGGCGAAAGCCUGAUGCAGCAACGCCGCGUGGGUGAAGAAGGUUUUCGGAUCGUAAAGCCCUUUUCUGUGUGACGAGAACGGACGGUAGCACAGGAAUAAGUGUCGGCUAACUACGUGCCAGCAGCCGCGGUAAAACGUAGGACGCAAGCGUUAUCCGGAGUUACUGGGCGUAAAGAGCGCGCAGGCGGAUGAUUAAGUCGUGUAUGAAAGCCCCUGGCUAAACUGGGGGAGGCUAGACGAUACUGGUCAUCUUGAGUGGGUGAGAGGGAUGUGGAAUUCCGCGUGUAGUGGUGAAAUGCGUAGAUAUGCGGAGGAACACCAGAGGCGAAGGCGACAUCCUGGCACUUAACUGACGCUGAGGCGCGAAAGCAUGGGUAGCGA
This 400-nucleotide ribosomal RNA is filed under the name uncultured bacterium. RNAcentral describes it as "bacterial SSU rRNA". It matches the Rfam family "Bacterial small subunit ribosomal RNA", at positions 355 to 771 of the family's 1533-position model. The record is from RNAcentral.